Molecule: long non-coding RNA, 1312 nt
Organism: Crotalus tigris (Tiger rattlesnake)
Lineage: Eukaryota; Metazoa; Chordata; Lepidosauria; Squamata; Viperidae
Exons: 3
Source: RefSeq, a predicted model, not a curated record
UGAAGUGCAAAUCGCGCAUCUCUCAGUCAAUGUCCCAGUGGGGAGCAGACAUCUGGCAAAGGUGCUGCUGAAAGAUGCAUUCACCCUGGCAUGUAGCAGAAGGAGACAUCUGUAGACUUUGAAAUCUUCAAUAAAGCAAGUGAAAAUACAAGGAGGGAAAAUUUUUUUUAUUUAUUUGCUAGCUUGCUUACUAGAUGUAUAUGCAUCUUCAAUCAACAAGUGACUCUGAGUAGCUCACGCAGUUCUUGCAAUGGUGAAUUUUAAAAAGUAAAAACUCAUAAAAACGUUGCCAACCCACAAUGGCAAUUAAUCCAGAACAAAAAACAUAGUGCCUUGAAAUUCCAUACUCAACAAAUGUUCCCUUGCAGGAGGAACCAUCCCGGCUUGCUGAAACAGGUUGGUAUUAAUGGCCUUGUAGCGCACCAAAAGCCUGAGAUUACUUUCGCUCCAGGGAGAGAGACAUACUGUUCCAAAAAAGAGGACAGCAACAGAGAAGACCUGCCUCUGAGGUCCUUGUUAAACACAUUUCCUAAAGUGGGAAUAUGGAACUGGGGCGCCUCUGUCUAAUACCAGCCUCAGCAAGCAUAGCUUCUGAGCCGGAUUAACUAAAGAUGGAAACCAAAACACCUGACGAGCCAUAGGAUCCCCAUGUCUGAUCAUGAAUUAAUAAAAAGAAUUGAUGUCUGUCAGUUGAAUCAGUUCUGCUUUACUAUAGGCCUUUCUGGUCAAGUAGAGCAUUUCAAAAGGUUGCUUAACAGCCUCAUUCAAAUGGAACUGUAAAACAGAUAAGGGGACACUUGACACUCAUGAUCAAGAACUAUAAGAUUGGUUUGAAAUCCAUCAGAUCCUUAACUUUAAAGCAUUACAAAGUUCAUUAUAGUUUUAAGAUAUGAAUGUACUUUUGAAUUGCAUACCGGAAAUUUGGAAUAUUACUCUACGAGGAACUGUGAAUUGAUCCAAUGUGGAGAAGAGCAAACUGUUCAAAGUCAGAAAGAUAGAGGCUUCCCAGAUUUAUAAUCUCAACAUUAUGUGUUCUCAACACAUAAUUUUGGAUAUGUGUUUAGUUUCUGUCUAUGAACUGGCUCUUUACCACUGUAUUGGAAAGACUGAUGAAUAUUAUCUAAUGUGGUUAAAGUUUAAUGAUGUAUAGGAAAAAAUGUUAUCGAAUUAUUAUGUGUACCCUAAUAUGCUUUGGUUUCCUUUUAUUUUUGUUGUUCUGUUGGUGUUUUUGUGUUCUUUUCUUCUUUUGCAUACAUUAAAGCAGGGCUUUUUUUCUCACAGAAUGCCCAGAAUGGAGUUCCAGCACCUUUUU